This 460-nucleotide ribosomal RNA is filed under the name uncultured bacterium. RNAcentral's name for it is "partial 16S ribosomal RNA". It matches the Rfam family "Bacterial small subunit ribosomal RNA", at positions 338 to 795 of the family's 1533-position model. The record is from RNAcentral.
CCUACGGGUGGCAGCAGUGAGGAAUAUUGGUCAAUGGACGCAAGUCUGAACCAGCCAUGCCGCGUGCAGGAAGACGGCUCUAUGAGUUGUAAACUGCUUUUGUACGAGGGUAAACGCAGAUACGCGUAUCUUUCUGAAAUUAUCGUACGAAUAAGUAUCUGCUCACUCCGUUCCAGCAGCCGCGGUAAUACGGAGGAUUCAAGCGUUAUCCGGAUUUAUUUGGUUUAAAGGGUGCGUAGGCGGUCGGAUAAGUUAGAGGUGAAAUCCCGAGGCUAAACUUCGGAAUUGCCUCUGAUACUGUUCGGCUAGAGAGUAGUUGAGGUAGGCGGAAUGUAUGGUGUAGCGGUGAAAUGCUUAGAGAUCAUACAGAACACCGAUUGCGAAGGCAGCUUACCAAGCUACUACUGACGUUGAGGCACGAAAGCGUGGGGAGCAAACAGGAUUAGAUACCCUUGUAGUG